AGUAGGAGACCAAUUUAACUGUGUCCACCUUUCAGCUGUAACUUCUUUGCUCUUUGGUGCUGUUUUCCACCAGCCUAAGAGCACAGGAGGAAAUGCCCUGAUAUGUCUCAGCUAACAGGUCAGCCCAACCUGCUUUGACUCACCCAUUUAGGAAAUUGAGUCGAAUACCAGGUGUGCAAAGUAGAUUGGAUAUGAAGGAUUAUUUGUUUUGCUGCAGUAUUUUGUGGUAAGAUUAUCUCAGGGAAGAGAAAGUGAAUGUUCCACACCAAAAAAAGAGGACAGCUUUGUGUUUCCAGUCAGUUUAAACCACUACACUUCCCUACUGACCUGUCUAAUCUUUUCCACAGAUAAUUAUUUUGCAGCACCUGAGGGUGAGUCCUCAGGUAUCAGCAAUUUUUACAUACUGUCAUGGAUAGCUCUGUCCCCUGCUGUGACCAGCUCUUGUCCCUAGUUUUCAUGGAGGGUUCUUGCAGAAAAAUCCCAAUCAGGGCAUGUACUCAAAAAAAACUUCUCCAUUUUAAGCACUUUACUUUUUCUUCCAUUUCAGAAGCAGCUGUCCACAGAUAAGAAUCCAACCAAAUAAAUCCCUGGGUAGAUUGCCUUUGAAUUGAGCUCUCUGCCUUUCUAAAAGCAAGCUUUACCUUGUGCAUGUGUUACAUCUUCCAAAAUAAUGAAUUUAAACCCCCAGUUCUGUUUUCCAGCGUUGAGGGGAGAUCAGACCCGGCAGUUGAGGAGAAUGGGAAACGCAGACCUGGAGGAAAGCAGGCAAACAAGUACCUGACAAUUGCAGCGGUGAUAAAUAAGGCAGACGGGUAGGAAAGAGCCAUAAAACAGGAGGAGAGGGGAUAAGAAAGAGAGACAUUCCUUUCCUGAGUGGAAAGAGUCUUCACUGUGUUGCUAUUUCUGACACGGGGCAGGGAUGGGGAGGACAAAUCCUCCUGUGUCAAGAAAAAGGGGUAAAUGCAGCAUCUCUUCUUCACAAAAUGGAUAUUUUAUGAAGACUAAGAAGAUAAAAUGCUUGGUAUGCUUGAGGGGCAGGGUAAUUCUAGAGAAUAGAAGAGUUUUCUUUCCUACUUGUUUUCCCAUGCAGCCCAGAGUUAUUUAGCUGAGCUUUUAAUACACAAGUGGGAAUUUUGCUGAAUGAUUCUCCAGUACAACUUUUAUGCAAUUUUUUUCUCCUGUUUCUUUCCCCUCCGCCCCUUUUUGUUUUCUUUUGUUUGAACUACCCAUAGGCAGUGGUUCAAUAGCAGACUUUUAAAGAAUGGGUUGUUGGUGUGGGUUGAGGUUGAUCUGGUCAAAGAUGUGGGUAUUUUUGUAUUUUUUUCUGGCCUGGUUACCGGGCCAGAGGACAGAGCAGCAGUAAGAGAAGCAGUAGUUGAUUCCAGGGCCAUUAGGAUUCUGGGUGGCAUUAGGAUUGCCUUCUUUUUUUUUUUUUUUUUUUUUUUCCCCAUGAGAAAAUGUAAUGCAAGUUAAGCAGAAUCUGAAUACAGUCUUUUUAUUGUUUUGUCCAAAACCUGAGGCAAUUAGGAAAAGAACAGAGAUUGUCAAGCAUUUAAACCCUCCAGCUCUCACAGCAUGGAGUGUGACAAGGCCAAACUGGAAGCCAACUUCUCUUCCCCAGGAUCAGAGAGACAACAAAUGGCCCAGCUGAUACUUGCUGCUGAAUUUCUUCAGGUUAAACUCAGCUACCAGAUGUUGCUGGAAUCAAGAUCAAAAUGAAAAAAGCACAUUUGCAAGAUAUGGACAAAACUGGCAUGGGGCACUCCAUUGCAACCCUGGCAGUGCUGAGGGUUAUGAAGAUCCCUGUGUUGGCACAAGGUGACCUCCCAAACACGCCAUGUGCUGCUGCGCAGACUUGCAGAUCUCCAUAUGAACUCCAAGGACACUCAGGAUCCUUCUGCUUGAAGAAUGAUGUUACUGCUCAACUGCAAACAUCUCAAGACAAAGACACACCAAAUUCUACCAUAACCUUAAUGUAAUUACCCCAUUAUGGAAUUCUAAAAGAACUAGAAGAAUUCAUCACUAAAUUUGUACUGAAAGCUAUUAUUAAUUUGAGGUAAACAAACCAAGACUGGUU
Long non-coding RNA from Melospiza melodia melodia, 2077 nucleotides. RefSeq lists it as uncharacterized. NCBI's taxonomy places the organism in Eukaryota, Metazoa, Chordata, Aves, Passeriformes, Passerellidae. The record is from RefSeq and is a predicted model, not a curated record. The transcript has 4 exons.